GGCUGGUCCAAUGGUAGUGGGUUAUCAGAACUUAUUAACAUUAGUGUCACUAAAGUUGGUAUACAGCCCCUCACUGCUGAAUUUUACUGGCUUUAA
Y RNA from Callithrix jacchus (white-tufted-ear marmoset), 96 nucleotides. It matches the Rfam family "Y RNA". From Rfam's summary of the family: Y RNAs are components of the Ro ribonucleoprotein particle (Ro RNP), in association with Ro60 and La proteins. The record is from Ensembl. NCBI's taxonomy places the organism in Eukaryota, Metazoa, Chordata, Mammalia, Primates, Cebidae.